Non-coding RNA from Salmo salar (Atlantic salmon), 54 nucleotides. Lineage: Eukaryota; Metazoa; Chordata; Actinopteri; Salmoniformes; Salmonidae. The record is from Rfam.
UGUAUUCACUACUGUAAGUCGCUCUGGAUAAGAAUGUCUGCUAAAUGACUGAAA